RNAcentral lists this ribosomal RNA (704 nucleotides) under uncultured Lachnospiraceae bacterium. RNAcentral describes it as "bacterial SSU rRNA". It matches the Rfam family "Bacterial small subunit ribosomal RNA", at positions 60 to 766 of the family's 1533-position model. The record is from RNAcentral. Lineage: Bacteria; Bacillati; Bacillota; Clostridia; Lachnospirales; Lachnospiraceae.
AGUCGAACGGGAAACUUUCAUUGAAGCUUCGGCAGAUUUGGUCUGUUUCUAGUGGCGGACGGGUGAGUAACGCGUGGGUAACCUGCCUUAUACAGGGGGAUAACAACCAGAAAUGGUUGCUAAUACCGCAUAAGCGCACAGGACCGCAUGGUCCGGUGUGAAAAACUCCGGUGGUAUAAGAUGGACCCGCGUUGGAUUAGCUAGUUGGCAGGGUAACGGCCUACCAAGGCGACGAUCCAUAGCCGGCCUGAGAGGGUGAACGGCCACAUUGGGACUGAGACACGGCCCAGACUCCUACGGGAGGCAGCAGUGGGGAAUAUUGCACAAUGGGGGAAACCCUGAUGCAGCGACGCCGCGUGAAGGAAGAAGUAUCUCGGUAUGUAAACUUCUAUCAGCAGGGAAGAUAGUGACGGUACCUGACUAAGAAGCCCCGGCUAACUACGUGCCAGCAGCCGCGGUAAUACGUAGGGGGCAAGCGUUAUCCGGAUUUACUGGGUGUAAAGGGAGCGUAGACGGACUGGCAAGUCUGAUGUGAAAGGCGGGGGCUCAACCCCUGGACUGCAUUGGAAACUGUUAGUCUUGAGUGCCGGAGAGGUAAGCGGAAUUCCUAGUGUAGCGGUGAAAUGCGUAGAUAUUAGGAGGAACACCAGUGGCGAAGGCGGCUUACUGGACGGUAACUGACGUUGAGGCUCGAAAGCGUGGGG